Molecule: long non-coding RNA, 1769 nt
Filed under: Numida meleagris (helmeted guineafowl)
Lineage: Eukaryota; Metazoa; Chordata; Aves; Galliformes; Numididae
Description: lncRNA (ENSNMEG00000002013.1)
Source: RNAcentral
CAGAUCAUUGAGCAACAACGAACUGAUGGAGCUGCCCCCCCCAGAGCCGCCCAACGAGCGGGGUCUCAUUAACCCCCCCCCCUAAUUAGCGGGGCCUCGUUAAUUCCCCCGGCGCCGCCCGCAGAGUGACGCCCCCCCCCGAAACCCCCCGAGGAGUGGGGGGGGGCCGAGGAGCCCCCGCGGGCGGCGCCAGCCGGGAAACGGGGCCUGCGUUUUGGGGUAAGAAAUGGCCAUUUUGGGAGCCCGCGUUUUGGGGCAAGAAAUGGCCGUUUUGGGACAAGAAACGGCGAUUUUGGGAGCCCGCGUUUUGGGGGCAAUAAAUGGUGAUUUGGGGGCAAGAAACGGCGAUUUUGGGGCAAGAAACGGCGAUUUUGGGGGCCUGCAUUUUGGGGCAAGAAAUGGCGAUUUUGGGGCUGCUCUCUCUCACAGUGCGGGGCCCAUCGCUGCCGUGUGGGGUGGACAUUGGGGUUUUGGGGCCAAUCCUUGGGGUUUCGGGGCCAAUCCUUGGGAUUUUGGGGCAUUUUGUGGAGAUUUUUGGGGCCAUUUGUGGGGGUUUUGGGGUCAAUCCUUGGGAUUUUGGGGCCAUUUGUGGAGGUUUUGGGGUCAAUCCUUGGGAUUUUGGGGUCGUUUGUGGGGUCUUUGGGUUCUAUUGUUGGGAUUUUGGGGUCAAUCCUUGGGGUUUUGGGGCCGUUUGUUGAAGUUUUGGGGUCGAUCAAUGAGGUUUUGGGGCAUUUUGCUGAGAUUUUUGGGGCCAUUUGUGGAGGUUUUGGGGUCAAUCCUUGGGAUUUUGGGGUCGUUUGUGGGGGCUCUGGGUUCUGUUGUUGGGAUUUUGGGGUCAAUCUUUGGGGUUUUGGGGUCAAUCCUUGGAUUGUGGGGUCUACUGUUGAGAUUUUUGGGGCCCUUUUUUGAGGUUUUGGGGUCAGUCCUUGGGAUUUGGGGGCCAUUCCUUGGGGUUUUGGGGUCAAUUGUUGGGGUUUUGGGGUCAGUCAGGAUUUUAGGGCCAUUUGUCGAGGUUUUGGGGUCCCCUGGUGGGCAUUUGGGCUCAGCCAUUGGGGUUUUAGGGUCAAUCAUUGGAGUUCUGGGCUCGUUUCUUGAGGUUUAUGGGGUGGUUGAUGUUUUGGGGCCAUUUGUUGAGGUUUGGGGAUCGAUCGUUGGGAUUUGGGGGGUGUUCGUUGGGAUUUUGGGGCCGUUCAUUGGGAUUUUGGGUUUGACGGGAUUUUGGGGUCGAUUGUUGGGAUUUUGGGGCCGUUCGUUGGGAUUUUGGGGCUGUUCAUUGGGAUUUUGGGUUUGAUGGGAUUUUGGGGCUGUUCGUUGUGAUUUUGGGGCUGUUCAUUGGGAUUUUGGGGCCGUUUGUUGGGAUUUUGGGGUCAUUCAUUGGGAUUUUGGGGUCACGGAGGUUUUUGGGGUCCUUUCAUGGGGUUUUUGGUUCGAAUGCAAAACGUGGGGGUCAUCCCCUGAAAUGCUGGGGUCACUCUGUGCUUUUUUUGGGGUCAUUCUGGGGCUUUUUGGGGUCGUUUCGUGAGGUUUUUUUUUUUUGGGGGGGGGGGGUCAUCCCAUGAAAUUUUGGGGUGAGAUCCCGAGAUUUCAGCUCCACUUCCGGUCGGUGUUCAUAUUUGCAAAGUUUAUUCCUUUUGGGGGCAUUUCCACAGCUUUUAGCCCCCCCCACCCCCCCCACUCCAAAAUCUGGGGUCUGCCCCCCCCAUUUUGGGGGCAGAUUCCAGGUUUUGGGGACCCCCUCCAGAUUUUUUUUUUUUGGGGGGGGGGUUCCC